AGCAGCCGCGGUAAUUCCAGCUCCAAUAGCGUAUAUUAAAGUUGUUGCAGUUAAAAAGCUCGUAGUUGAAUUUCGGGAUCAGUUGAUCGGUCGUGCCUCGGUACGUACUGGUCAAAUUGAUUCCUACCUUCUGACGAACCACGAUGUCAUUAAUUUGAUGUCGCGGGAAAUCAGGACUGUUACUUUGAAAAAAUUAGAGUGUUUAAAGCAGGCUCGCGCUUGAAUACAUUAGCAUGGAAUAAUGAAAUAGGACGUUUGAUUCUAUUUUGAUUGGUUUCUAGGAUCGACGUAAUGAUUAAUAGGGAUAGUUGGGGGCAUUAGUAUUCAAUUGUCAGAGGUGAAAUUCUUGGAUCUAUUGAAGACUAACUACUGCGAAAGCAUUUGCCAAGGAUGUUUUCAUUAAUCAAGAACGAAAGUUAGGGGAUCGAAGACGAUCAGAUACCGUCGUAGUCUUAACCAUAAACUAUGCCGACUAGGGAUCGGAUGAUGUUAAUUUUUUCAAUGACUCAUUCGGCGCCUU
This 520-nucleotide ribosomal RNA is filed under the name uncultured Glomus. Its description in RNAcentral is "SSU rRNA". It matches the Rfam family "Eukaryotic small subunit ribosomal RNA", at positions 569 to 1089 of the family's 1831-position model. Lineage: Eukaryota; Fungi; Glomeromycota; Glomeromycetes; Glomerales; Glomeraceae. The record is from RNAcentral.